Benincasa hispida (wax gourd) is the source of this 1156-nucleotide long non-coding RNA. RefSeq lists it as uncharacterized. The record is from RefSeq and is a predicted model, not a curated record. NCBI's taxonomy places the organism in Eukaryota, Viridiplantae, Streptophyta, Magnoliopsida, Cucurbitales, Cucurbitaceae.
CUCUUUUUUCUUUCUUCCCUUCCCUUCCCUCGCGCCGCCUGACACCCCUCCUCCACGAAAAUUUCCUUAUCCCUUUGUCCUUAUCGUCCACUACUGGUUCGUACCCCAGCCCCGCCUUUAAAGCUGUCGCCUCGCCGAUUCACAGUCGCGCUCCGCACCCACUCGCCCAUCGAAACCACUCAGUCGUCCUUUCUCUCCAACAACACGUCGCCUCCCCCUCACCUCCCCUCCGCCGAGUCAUCCAAGCCUCGUCCCCACACGCUGAAGCCCUUCAGCCACCGCAGAUCUGUACCUGCCAUCCGUACCUGGGUCGUGAGGCUGUCAAACCUGCCAGACCUAGAGUGCUGUGAGUCAUCCAGCCGCGUUCCAUUCCGUCUACCACUGAUCAGCCGCUGUCUUUUCGCCCAGCCACUAUCCUCCGCCGAUCACUGCCAUCCUUUGUCGUCGUUCGUCGGAUUUUGGCUUGUGGUGAUGUUUUGGCAUUGGAAGAAUUUUAAAGUCGAAGUGUGUUGUCAAGCAUUGCGCAGGAUUAAGUUGGGUUCGCAAACGGAUUUAAGUUUGAAACUAAUUUUGGACUAAGCAACAUUUUGAUUGAUCAUUUGUUUGAGAGAUUGAAGGCAGUUUUGGAACAAACUACACUUUGGGCUUUAGAUUCAAAUUUUGGAGAAGUUUUGAAUAUAGAAGCGAACGACUUGAGUUUAAUUCCGACAAGAAUUUUGAUGUUAGAACUUUGAGGUGAUCUUAGUCAAACCACUAUUGGUCUGCCUCAGGGAAGAACAUGAUUGGAACAAUUGAUUAUAGCGAUCUUAUUCAUUUCUGGAGUUUGAUACGUCCCUUUCCCAUGCACACACCUUCUUAAGAGGGAUGCGCCCAAGGCGCCACGAGGCCGAGCAUGGAAAUGACGUUUCAAACCAAUGAAGAAGACUGCAAGAUGUGUUGACACACGUCCUUUUCCCACUUACUAUAAACACUUUCUCCAUUCACCUUGAUAUCGACCCAUGCAAAUAUCUUCUUAAGGGAGGGUGCACCCAGGACACCACAAGAUUGAACAUGAAUCUCACAUUGUGAACUUUUAGAGAGAGCGUGGGUAAAUGUUUUGUAAAUGAUGGGUUUAUUAACUCAGUAAAAUCCGACUAAUCAAUUUUUAGCCAAUUCA